GCAAAGCUUUAGUUCACAGUCAUGUACAUUACACCAUCACAUGUAUAUUACACCAUAAAGGCAAAUCGACCAUAAAUUGUUUACAUCAAGAAGCCAUAAACUGUUUACAUAUGGAAAAAUUGUUUACAUCAAGCAACCAUAAAAAGUUUUAGCAUCAGAACAGGAUUAGCUUUCAGCUCAAUUUUGGCUUUCAGCUCCAUGCAGGUGCCAAUUUCAAGCAUCUUCAACAUCAGAAAAGGAUUAGCUUUUAUUACUUCAGUUGGUGUACUGCAACAAACCAAACAAGGAAAUUGUCACUAUAAAGGAAAGCAAAUGAAUAAAAGCUAAAGUAACUGUUUUUUUUUCAACACAGAAGAAGAAUGCAAAUUACAAAGCAAAAGAUUAAGUUUCAUAGACAGUCAUGUGCAAAUUUCUACAUUCUUCCAUUCUAGAGAAAAUACAUAACACACAGAGUUGGGAAAAAUUUCCUGCAUCCUUCCACUAAAUAUAAAUAUCUACUAAAAGUAAAGCCACCAAUAUUGAAUUUGAAUACUGAAUAUGAGCUCUAUAUAUACUCUGCCUCAACCUCAUUAAUAUAUGAUAAACCAAUUCACUCAUACAACUCUUUUUUAAGAAAAAAAAUUAAACAGAAAGAUGAGAUUUUAGACAGUAACCAUAUUCAUACUAGCCUCAUCCCCAUCAGUUUCUACAUAACAAUGUGGGAAACAUGCUGGAAUGGCUUUGUGCCCAAAGAAGCUCACAGAACAUAUUUUUAUGAGCUCCCAAGUUCAUAGUAAGCAGAUUUUAAAAUGAACAAGCUUCAUCAGCAAUGUCAAAUCUAUGGCAAUGGAUGUAUAACUAUUUUUACCUUGUCAAAUCUAUGGCAAUUGAUGUAUACUUACAGUUGAGAAUACCAAGUUUAAUAGAAAGGUGGUAAUGGAUGUAUAACUAUUUUUCACUUAUAUAUAACAAAGCAAAAUAAAAAACAGUAAAAGAGGCACAACUACCUGACUUGUAACUGAUACCAUAAGUCACUCCCAUGAUUAGUGCACUUCUGAAGGACACUCUGUAGGGAAAAAAAUUCCAAGUUAAUACAAAGAUAUAGAUAUACAAAUGUUGUUAUAGCAAUUUCAGUUCCACCUGUGGGUGAAUCACAUUCAUCAUCUACACUUGGAUCCUGAGUAGCAUCAACAUUUGAACAAACUUAAACCUAUGAAAUCAACAAUUAAAAGAAUUAUUGAGAUAAUAGCUAUAUUGAGAAAUAAGCUUAAAACCAAAACUCAUGCUCCAGUUUGAAAUCACCUUCACGCAACAGAGUAUGUUGUCUAAAUAACAGGUUUAUAUGUAUUCAGAUUUUACUGACAACUUAGUUCUGUACAAUAAUUCAAGAUACCAGCACAGUUGAAAAUAGUCACUCGAGUCGAGUCAGUUUUAAAUCAUAAUUAGAAGCCAACCAUGUACACUAUAACUCCUUUCAAUAACAGCAACAACAACUAAAGAGAUGAAAAAAAUGAUUUCCCAAAAUCCUACCAUCAAAAGUGUUGUUCUGCUAAAAAAAAUUAAGAGAUACUUACCAAUUUCCACUCAUCAUCAAUCACAGGAACAAAAAAUAACAACAAAAUAAGAAACAAAAAAGAACAAAAAAAUAAGAAACCAUCCCUUUUAGAAGUUUAGAAACAGAGAUGUAACAAAACCCCUUCCUAAACUCCAAACAAAGAUGAAAUAUAUAAUUUUCAAAUCAGAAAAGGAAAAGAAGUCAUCCAAAUCAAAGCCCUUACCGAAUUGAAGUGUGGAACCAGCAAAAUUGAAGUGAGGGAUUGAGGGGGAUCGAACUGCUUGCGACCUAUUCUAGGGCACGACGAGCUUUGUAGGGCUUCAAUUAUAGGGCUUUUCCUUUCUGAAGCUUGGGAUUAUCGAAGGAACUCUAGGUAACUCUGAGUUGUGAAACUGAAACUAAUCGAAGGAACCAAUCAACUGAGUUUCUCUCUUGCGGCAAUCGCAUUUCUAGAGGGAAGGGCUUCACUUUCUCUCUCUUCAAUGUUACAGCAAUAGAUUUUAAGGGAAUCAAUUUUGGCAGUGAGGAGUUUUCUAUUGAGAUCUCAGUCUUUGU
RNAcentral lists this long non-coding RNA (2089 nucleotides) under Panax ginseng (ginseng). RNAcentral describes it as "long non-coding RNA (PGIN_LNC001581)". The record is from RNAcentral. Lineage: Eukaryota; Viridiplantae; Streptophyta; Magnoliopsida; Apiales; Araliaceae.